This 505-nucleotide ribosomal RNA is filed under the name uncultured bacterium. RNAcentral describes it as "partial 16S ribosomal RNA". It matches the Rfam family "Bacterial small subunit ribosomal RNA", at positions 28 to 507 of the family's 1533-position model. The record is from RNAcentral.
GACGAACGCUGGCGGCGUGCCUAAUACAUGCAAGUAGAACGCACAGUUUAUACCGUAGCUUGCUCCACCAUAGACUGUGAGUUGCGAACGGGUGAGUAACGCGUAGGUAACCUGCCUGGUAGCGGGGGAUAACUAUUGGAAACGAUAGCUAAUACCGCAUAAUAUUAAUUAUUGCAUGAUAAUUAAUUGAACGGUGCAAUUGCACCACUACCAGAUGGACCUGCGUUGUAUUAGCUAGUAGGUGAGGUAACGGCUCACCUAGGCGACGAUACAUAGCCGACCUGAGAGGGUGAUCGGCCACACUGGGACUGAGACACGGCCCAGACUCCUACGGGAGGCAGCAGUAGGGAAUCUUCGGCAAUGGACGAAAGUCUGACCGAGCAACGCCGCGUGAGUGAAGAAGGUUGUCGGAUCGUAAAGCUCUGUUGUAAGAGAAGAACGGGUGUGAGAGUGGAAAGUUCACACUGUGACGGUAUCUUACCAGAAAGGGACGGCUAACUACGUG